AUACUUACCUGGCAGGGGAGAUACCAUGAUCACGAAGGUGGUUUUCCCAGGGCGAGGCUCAUCCAUUGCACCCCGGAUGUGCUGACCCCUGCGAUUUCCCCAAAUGUGGGAAACUCGACUGCAUAAUUUGUGGUAGUGGGGGACUGCGUUCGCGCUUUCCCCUG
This is a small nuclear RNA of 164 nucleotides. Its record names the gene U1. It matches the Rfam family "U1 spliceosomal RNA". Rfam says of the family: U1 is a small nuclear RNA (snRNA) component of the spliceosome (involved in pre-mRNA splicing). Its 5' end forms complementary base pairs with the 5' splice junction, thus defining the 5' donor site of an intron. The record is from Ensembl.